This 427-nucleotide ribosomal RNA is filed under the name uncultured Lysobacterales bacterium. Its description in RNAcentral is "bacterial SSU rRNA". It matches the Rfam family "Bacterial small subunit ribosomal RNA", at positions 353 to 772 of the family's 1533-position model. The record is from RNAcentral. Lineage: Bacteria; Pseudomonadati; Pseudomonadota; Gammaproteobacteria; Lysobacterales.
AGUGGGGAAUAUUGGACAAUGGGGGAAACCCUGAUCCAGCGACGCCGCGUGGGUGAAGAAGGCCUGCGGGUUGUAAAGCCCUUUCGGUGGGGAAGAAAAGCUUCGACCUAAUACGUCGGAGUAUUGACGUAACCCACAAAAGAAGCACCGGCUAACUCUGUGCCAGCAGCCGCGGUAAUACAGAGGGUGCGAGCGUUAAUCGGAAUUACUGGGCGUAAAGCGCGCGUAGGCGGCUCUGCAAGUCGGGUGUGAAAUCCCCGGGCUCAACCUGGGAACUGCAUUCGAGACUGCAUUGCUUGAGUAUGGGAGAGGGAGGCGGAAUUUCAGGUGUAGCGGUGAAAUGCGUAGAUAUCUGAAGGAACAUCAGUGGCGAAAGCGGCCUCCUGGACCAAUACUGACGCUCAUGUGCGAAAGCGUGGGGAGCAAA